This 107-nucleotide ribosomal RNA is filed under the name uncultured Prevotella sp. Lineage: Bacteria; Pseudomonadati; Bacteroidota; Bacteroidia; Bacteroidales; Prevotellaceae. The record is from RNAcentral.
GGUGGUUAUUGCGGCGGGGCCCCACCUCUUCCCAUUCCGAACAGAGCAGUUAAGCCCGCCAUCGCCGAUGGUACUGCAAUGCAAUGCGGGAGAGUAGGUAGCCGCCU